This is a non-coding RNA of Stegodyphus mimosarum, 73 nucleotides long. The record is from Rfam. NCBI's taxonomy places the organism in Eukaryota, Metazoa, Arthropoda, Arachnida, Araneae, Eresidae.
GUCUUUGUGGUGUAGUGGUCAGCAUGCUCGACGCGUAAUCGAGAGGUUCGUGGUUCGAUUCUCGGCGAAGGAG